Molecule: ribosomal RNA, 79 nt
Filed under: Nocardia caishijiensis
Lineage: Bacteria; Bacillati; Actinomycetota; Actinomycetes; Mycobacteriales; Nocardiaceae
Description: partial 16S ribosomal RNA
Rfam family: Bacterial small subunit ribosomal RNA
Source: RNAcentral
CUUCAACGGAGAGUUUGAUCCUGGCUCAGGACGAACGCUGGCGGCGUGCUUAACACAUGCAAGUCGAGCGGUAAGGCCC